UAGGGAAUAUUGCUCAAUGGGGGAAACCCUGAAGCAGCAACGCCGCGUGAGUGAUGAAGGCCUUCGGGUCGUAAAGCUCUGUUGUACGGGAAGAACGUAGGUAUGGCUAACAUCCAUAUCUAGUGACGGUACCGUAUAAGAAAGGACCGGCUAACUUCGUGCCAGCAGCCGCGGUAAGACGGGGGGUCCAAGCGUUGUUCGGAAUCAUUGGGCGUAAAGCGUGUGCAGGUGGUCUUGUAAGUUGGAUGUGAAAGCCCCGGGCUCAACUCGGGAAGUGCAUUCAAAACUACAAAACUUGAGUAAGGAAGAGGGUCGUGGAAUUCCUGGUGUAGUGGUGAAAUACGUAGAUAUCAGGAGGAACACCGGUGGCGAAGGCGGCGACCUGGUCCUAUACUGACACUCAUACACGAAAGCGUGGGGAUCAAACAG
RNAcentral lists this ribosomal RNA (429 nucleotides) under uncultured bacterium. RNAcentral describes it as "bacterial SSU rRNA". It matches the Rfam family "Bacterial small subunit ribosomal RNA", at positions 355 to 775 of the family's 1533-position model. The record is from RNAcentral.